RNAcentral lists this ribosomal RNA (253 nucleotides) under uncultured bacterium. RNAcentral describes it as "partial 16S ribosomal RNA". It matches the Rfam family "Bacterial small subunit ribosomal RNA", at positions 524 to 776 of the family's 1533-position model. The record is from RNAcentral.
UACGUAGGGGGCAAGCGUUGUCCGGAAUCAUUGGGCGUAAAGCGCGUGUAGGCGGCCCGAUAAGUCCGCUGUGAAAGUCCAGGGCUCAACCCUGGGAUGCCGGUGGAUACUGUCGGGCUCGAGUCCGGAAGAGGCGAGUGGAAUUCCUGGUGUAGCGGUGAAAUGCGCAGAUAUCAGGAGGAACACCGAUGGCGAAGGCAGCUCGCUGGGACGGUACUGACGCUGAGACGCGAAAGCGUGGGGAGCAAACAGG